UACAGAGGUCCCAAGCGUUGUUCGGAUUCAUUGGGCGUAAAGGGUGCGUAGGCGGCGCGGUAAGUCGGGUGUGAAAUCUCGGGGCUUAACUCCGAAACUGCAUUCGAUACUGCCGUGCUUGAGGACUGGAGAGGAGACUGGAAUUUACGGUGUAGCGGUGAAAUGCGUAGAUAUCGGGAGGAACACCAGCGGCGAAGGCGGCCAUCUGGACAGAUAUUGACGCUGAUGUGCGAAAGCGUGGGGAGCAAACAGG
This 253-nucleotide ribosomal RNA is filed under the name uncultured bacterium. RNAcentral's name for it is "partial 16S ribosomal RNA". It matches the Rfam family "Bacterial small subunit ribosomal RNA", at positions 524 to 776 of the family's 1533-position model. The record is from RNAcentral.